GUCCUCGACAAGUUGUGAUUGCUGCAAUUACUGUUCACUGGGCAUGAAUGCUUCAAAAUGUAGCUCAGAUUGUUCCCUGAAUACAAGACAUACAUACCCCAGCAAAGCUAUCUCCACCUACAAGUACAGUAACUUCUUUCAGGUAUGUGGAGCCAAACAUGACCAAUUGGCAUUGUAAUUUUACAGUUAGUGAAGCCUUUACUAAGUGCUCUGAUAGAACUUCUACCAACAAAACCACUCCUUCAAAGCAUAAAGUUAUGUGAAAGGGAGACACAGAUUGCUCAUAUCAGUCCCAGAGUGAGGAUGGUAAGAGAGGUCACACCUGCUUUCAACAUUUGGCUUAAACUGUAUAACUCAUCUUGAAAUACACUGCUGUAAUCCCACACAAUCCCAAACUAGUUACCUUAGAAAAAUCCAUUUGACAUUGUCAGAUCAGCAUCUUCUAGGUAAAGUAGAAUGUGGUAGAAUCAAUGGACCUCAUGUUCACAUAGUUCUUACUGUGUCUGCAUUACUGUAUUGGGGUCCUUUGAUCAAAGGCAAUUAUGAGAUUUCAUGAUGGUAAGUGAAACAUACAAAUUAGUGACACUGUGGUUAGAGAAGAGAAACUCACAGUAAAAAUAUAGUUUACUUGCCCCUUACAAGGUGAAGGGUCCUGUGUAAUCAGUUUGUCAAUUCAUGGUGUUCUGUCUUCUCCAGGGAUUAUAGCACAUGAGAGUUUCAACAGUGUUUUGUAUUAUGACUUCUCAAGAGAAAACAGAAGAACAUCCCUUUGUGGAUAUAUUUAAUGAAGAUGAAACUGAACAAUGUUUUUUGUUGUCCCGACCUCUUCACUUUGUUGUACUUGGGAAACCAGU
This 854-nucleotide long non-coding RNA is filed under the name Cavia porcellus (domestic guinea pig). Its description in RNAcentral is "lncRNA (ENSCPOG00000038166.1)". Lineage: Eukaryota; Metazoa; Chordata; Mammalia; Rodentia; Caviidae. The record is from RNAcentral.